RNAcentral lists this ribosomal RNA (722 nucleotides) under uncultured bacterium. RNAcentral's name for it is "bacterial SSU rRNA". It matches the Rfam family "Bacterial small subunit ribosomal RNA", at positions 100 to 840 of the family's 1533-position model. The record is from RNAcentral.
GGACGGGUGAGUAACGCGUGAGUAACCUGCCUUCAAGAGGGGGAUAACAUUCUGAAAAGAAUGCUAAUACCGCAUGACAUAUCGGAAUCACAUGAUUUUGAUAUCAAAGAUUUUAUCGCUUGAAGAUGGACUCGCGUCCGAUUAGUUAGUUGGUGAGGUAACGGCUCACCAAGACCGCGAUCGGUAGCCGGACUGAGAGGUUGAACGGCCACAUUGGGACUGAGACACGGCCCAGACUCCUACGGGAGGCAGCAGUGGGGGAUAUUGCGCAAUGGGGGCAACCCUGACGCAGCAACGCCGCGUGAAGGAUGAAGGUUUUCGGAUUGUAAACUUCUUUUAUUAAGGACGAAAAAUGACGGUACUUAAUGAAUAAGCUCCGGCUAACUACGUGCCAGCAGCCGCGGUAAUACGUAGGGAGCAAGCGUUGUCCGGAUUUACUGGGUGUAAAGGGUGCGUAGGCGGCUUUGCAAGUCAGAUGUGAAAUCUAUGGGCUCAACCCAUAAACUGCAUUUGAAACUGUAGAGCUUGAGUGAAGUAGAGGCAGGCGGAAUUCCCCGUGUAGCGGUGAAAUGCGUAGAGAUGGGGAGGAACACCAGUGGCGAAGGCGGCCUGCUGGGCUUUAACUGACGCUGAGGCACGAAAGCGUGGGUAGCAAACAGGAUUAGAUACCCUGGUAGUCCACGCUGUAAACGAUGAUUACUAGGUGUGGGGGGUCUGACCCC